Molecule: long non-coding RNA, 883 nt
Organism: Musa acuminata AAA Group (dessert banana)
Lineage: Eukaryota; Viridiplantae; Streptophyta; Magnoliopsida; Zingiberales; Musaceae
Exons: 2
Source: RefSeq, a predicted model, not a curated record
GGGUUCCGAAGGGGGCUCUGUGGGGGACGCCUUUCCUUCUCUUAGCGGUGCGGAAGCUGGCGGCGGUCGGCGGCGGCGUCGAUGGUGUGAAGCUGUGUGUCACGUUUCUCCUCUCGUUACCGGGGCUGCUGCUUCUCAAAAAGAGAGAGGACAUGAAGGUUCGGUGGAAAGACUGGGUUUUGGAGAGAGACUGAGAGUGCAGACCUUGCAGCCGAGGGAGCAGAAGCGGAAGGAGUCGAGGAGGCUCCGAUUGCAGACUUCGCAGGUGUUGGUGACGCCCUUGCCGGGCCUCGGCUGUGGGCGCUUGUUGAGGAAGACGACACGGGCACUGUUGAUGAUGUACGUCUGCACGCCGGUGAUGUCCAGUACCUUCUGGAUCUCGGAAACUCUGAUCACGUCGUGGUAGGAAGACCUCCGUAUCUGCAAUCGAGAUCCCAUCAGAAGAGCCAACUUUAUGGUGGGGAGACACAGAGCCACUCCUAUGGGAGGCCAAGGAAACGCAAAGCAUGACUGAGAGAGACGCUUCAGAACAAACGGACCUGGAUUGCGCGGUGGCCGCGGUGGUGGGCGAGGCAGAGGGAGCAGAGAGCGCCGUUCGUGCAGUCAAGGCAGAACAUAUUGCACUCGCUCUUGUGAGAGUCAGCGUGGUGCUCGCAAUGGACGAAGAAGCUCGUCGACAGAAGCGGUCGCAGCCACCGCGGCCACCUACCCUUCUCCUCCGCCGUCCCUCCUCCGCCCUGUUCCAUCCCCCAUCAUCAUCAUCAGACAGAGCAAAAAAAGCCACCAACUUCGAAGCCAGCAACAAUCCUUUUGGGGAAACUCACCAUGAUUCGCCUGUUCUUGAUAUUUAGCUCUCUGAAUGGUGAUUCUUGAUUGACCGCCA